CCUACGGGAGGCAGCAGUGAGGAAUAUUGGUCAAUGGUCGCGAGCCUGAACCAGCCAAGUCGCGUGAAGGAUGACUGUACUACGGGUUGUAAACCUCUUUUUUCAAGGAAUAAAGUGUGGCACGUGUGCCCUUUUGUGUGUACUUUAUGAAUAAGGAUCGGCUAACUCCGUGCCAGCAGCCGCGGUAAUACGGAGGAUUCAAGCGUUAUCCGGAUUUAUUGGGGUUAAAGGGUGCGCAGGCGGUCGGAGAAGUUAGAGGUGAAAUCCCGGGGCUCAACUUCGGAAUUGCCUCUGAUACUGUGCGGCUAGAGAGGAGGUGAGGUAGGCGGAAUGCAUGGUGUAGCGGUGAAAUGCUUAGAGAUCAUACAGAACACCGAUUGCGAAGGCAGCUUACCAAGCUACUUCUGACGCUGAGGCACGAAAGCGUGGGGAGCAAACAGGAUUAGAUACCCGAGUAGUC
This 460-nucleotide ribosomal RNA is filed under the name uncultured bacterium. RNAcentral describes it as "partial 16S ribosomal RNA". It matches the Rfam family "Bacterial small subunit ribosomal RNA", at positions 338 to 795 of the family's 1533-position model. The record is from RNAcentral.